RNAcentral lists this unclassified non-coding RNA (2230 nucleotides) under Limulus polyphemus (Atlantic horseshoe crab). RNAcentral describes it as "arylsulfatase B-like, transcript variant X2". Lineage: Eukaryota; Metazoa; Arthropoda; Merostomata; Xiphosura; Limulidae. The record is from RNAcentral.
ACAUAACGCAGGAAUCUGUGACUUUGCUUUAAAUUGUUAUCACACAAAAAAAAGUGCAGCGAAAUUUAGACGAAGCCCCGAAAGUCUAUCUAACGGUUGUUUGUGUAACAGAGCGAAACAACAUCCGGGUACCAGUUUAAAAUACUAUGAGGGACUAUUCUUGCGGAAAGUGACAGAAACAAGUAAAACUCCCAAUUAUUUUCCUGUCCUAAGGAAGAUUUACUUUUUAUCUUGAGUUGCCUAUUGAUCAAGUCCAAUACUACCUUAUGAGUCAUAUUAGAGGGAACACCAUGGUGAACGUAGGACAAAACAUUUUAAGUUUUUACAUCUUGUUAACCCUAACUCAGAACAUACAAGGCCAAAAUACGAGUACGCCUCACAUCGUUCUGAUUGUAGCAGAUGAUUUGGGAUGGAAUGAUGUUAGCUGGAAUAAUCCCGACAUAAAAACACCUAACUUAGAACGUCUAGCGCUAGGUGGCGUCAUCCUGAACCAGUCUUAUGUCCAACCGGUUUGUACGCCGUCAAGGACAGCAUUUAUGACCGGCUACUUUCCUUAUCACGUUGGUAGACAGAAUACUUACAUUCACCAUUUGCAGCCCUCUGGUGUCUUCCUGAAUUACACAUAUUUACCUGAAAAAUUAAAACAACUCGGAUAUUCAACCCAUGUUGUAGGGAAGUGGCACCUGGGGUACUGUAAUUGGUCGUACACCCCAACUUUUCGAGGAUUCGAUUCAUUUUUCGGUUACUAUUUGGGUUCAGAAGACUAUUACACUCACGAAACACAUCCUUCAGAGUUCAAGAACCGAGGUUUGAAUGAACAGUUAUUCCUAGAUUUCCGCAACAACACAAAACCGGCCAAAGGAUAUGAUGGCAUUUACUCUACUCAAGUCUUCUCUAAAGCAACGACGGAGUUGAUUUCAAGGCUAAGUCCCAGGGUUCCAACGUUUCUCUACUUACCAUUUCAAGCAGUUCAUUCUCCGUUAGAGGUGCCUCAGAAGUAUCAAGAUAUGUAUAACAACAUUAAAGACGUGAACAGAAGGAAAUACAGUGGAAUGGUUACCGCUUUAGACGAAGCAAUAGGAAAUAUAACCAUUGCUCUAAAGAAGUUUGGUUUCUAUGGAAACUCGAUUAUUGCGUUUACUACUGAUAACGGAGGACAAGUUUAUGCUGGAGGAAACAACUGGCCCUUAAGAGGAAAUAAAGACACCUUAUGGGAAGGAGGAACAAGAGGUCCUGCCUUUGUACAUAGUCCGCUUCUGAACAGGACCGGCUUUGUAACAGAUAACCUAUUUCAUGCCGUUGAUUGGCUACCGACUUUACUUCACGUGGCUCAUGGUCAGGCUGAUCCAGGAAUUGAUGGAAUUGACCAAUGGAAUAUGAUUAAUGGAUACGGAACGCCACCUCGAAACGAAUUCAUCUACAACAUCUAUGAUACUAAUACAUCGAGAACCAGAGGAGCUAUCAGGGUUGGUGACUACAAAUUAAUUAUUGGAUCAGGAGGAAGCCCAAGUGGAUGGUUCCCGCCCCCUACCGUCAAUUGUACAAACUUGUCCAAUUACACUAUAUAUCAACAGAAUCCUCUGGAAGACCAAAUAUAUCUCUUUAACAUAAGAAAUGAUCCAACGGAACAUCACAAUCUAGUAACUUCAAGUCCACAUAUUGUAGACAAGCUAAGGCGCCGUCUUCUGCAACAUAAGGCAACCAUGAUCCCGGCAGAUGAUCCUCCAGAUGAUCCAAAAGGAAAUCCAAAACUUUGGAAUAAUAUUUUCUCUCCUGGGUGGUGCAAAGCAAAAGGAAUAAAACGAUUCUGAGCCUUUGCAUUGAAGAAACUAUUUUAUUUUCCAUAUCAGGCAGGUGGCAGCACUGCCUAUGUAGAGCCCGAGACCCCAGAAUAUACCUGAAUGGUGUUACCAGCCACACCCUCCCCAAAAUGCAGGAUUUACACUCUGACGGACAAAGGCUUUUCCACGACAGCAGUAUAACAAUCCACUGCCUUUGAAAUUGGCUUAAAAGAAGCGACAAUAAGCAUCUUUAAAAUAAACCUGAACUUCGCGUUUGUCUCUGUGGACAUCUGUGAACCAGCUGUUGAUCCUUCUCGACCAAUAGACCACGAUCAAAGAUACUUUCUGUCAUUUAAUGGAGUCUGUGCCUCGUUUAAUUCAGAGUAUUAUCGUGCCAAAAUUUGAUCUAACUUGAUAUUAGGUGCUGUUUGUAAUAAGUUACUAAAGAA